GCCGGGCGAGGUGACGGGUGCCUGUAGUCCCAGCUACUUGGGAGGCUGAGGCAGGAGAAUGGUGUGAACCCGGGAGGUGGAGCUUGCAGUGAGCUGAGAUCCGGCCACUGUACUCCAGCCUACGUGACAGCGAGACUCCGUCUCAAAAAAAAAAAAAAGGACUUUUUUUCCUUUUUUUUUUUGAGACGGAGUCUCGCUCUGUCACCCAGGCUGGAGUGCAGUGGCAUGAUCUCUGUUCACUGCAACCUCCGCCUCCCAGGUACAAGCAAUUCUCUGCCUCAG
Molecule: small RNA, 282 nt
Filed under: Macaca mulatta (Rhesus monkey)
Lineage: Eukaryota; Metazoa; Chordata; Mammalia; Primates; Cercopithecidae
Description: Metazoan signal recognition particle RNA (ENSMMUG00000053660.1)
Source: Rfam by way of RNAcentral